RNAcentral lists this ribosomal RNA (451 nucleotides) under uncultured bacterium. Its description in RNAcentral is "partial 16S ribosomal RNA". It matches the Rfam family "Bacterial small subunit ribosomal RNA", at positions 354 to 796 of the family's 1533-position model. The record is from RNAcentral.
GUGGGGAAUAUUGCGCAAUGGGGGAAACCCUGACGCAGCGACGCCGUGUGAGGGAAGAAGGCUUUCGGGUCGUAAACCUCUGUCAGAAAGGAAGAACCUCCCAAGUCCGAAUAGGGCUUGGGACUGACGGUACUUUCAAAGGAAGCACCGGCUAACUCCGUGCCAGCAGCCGCGGUAAUACGGAGGGUGCAAGCGUUAAUCGGAAUCACUGGGCGUAAAGCGCGCGUAGGCCGCUUUGUAAGUCGGACGUGAAAGCCCUCGGCUCAACCGGGGAAAGGCGUUCGAUACUGCGAGGCUUGAGUCCUGGAGAGGGUGGCGGAAUUCCGGGUGUAGGAGUGAAAUCCGUAGAUAUCCGGAGGAACACCGGUGGCGAAGGCGGCCACCUGGACAGGUACUGACGCUGAGGCGCGAAAGCGUGGGGAGCAAACAGGAUUAGAAACCCUGGUAGUCC